AUUGAACGCUGGCGGCAGGCCUAACACAUGCAAGUCGAACGGUAACAGAAAGCAGCUUGCUGCUUUGCUGACGAGUGGCGGACGGGUGAGUAAUGUCUGGGAAACUGCCUGAUGGAGGGGGAUAACUACUGGAAACGGUAGCUAAUACCGCAUAACGUCGCAAGACCAAAGAGGGGGACCUUCGGGCCUCUUGCCAUCGGAUGUGCCCAGAUGGGAUUAGCUAGUAGGUGGGGUAACGGCUCACCUAGGCGACGAUCUCUAGCUGGUCUGAGAGGAUGACCAGCCACACUGGAACUGAGACACGGUCCAGAAUCCUACGGGAGGCAGCAGUGGGAAUAUUGCACAAUGGGCGCAAGCCUGAUGCAGCCAUGCCGCGUGUAUGAAGAAGGCCUUCGGGUUGUAAAGUACUUUCAGCGGGGAGGAAGGGAGUAAAGUUAAUACCUUUGCUCAUUGACGUUACCCGCAGAAGAAGCACCGGCUAACUCCGUG
RNAcentral lists this ribosomal RNA (489 nucleotides) under uncultured bacterium. RNAcentral's name for it is "partial 16S ribosomal RNA". It matches the Rfam family "Bacterial small subunit ribosomal RNA", at positions 30 to 507 of the family's 1533-position model. The record is from RNAcentral.